UACGAAGGGGGCUAGCGUUGCUCGGAAUCACUGGGCGUAAAGGGUGCGUAGGCGGGUCUUUUAAGUCAGGGGUGAAAUCCUGGAGCUCAACUCCAGAACUGCCUUUGAUACUGAAGAUCUUGAGUUCGGGAGAGGUGAGUGGAACUGCGGAGUGUAGAGGUGAAAUUCGUAGAUAUUCGCAAGAACACCAGUGGCGAAGGCGGCUCACUGGCCCGAUACUGACGCUGAGGCACGAAAGCGUGGGGAGCAAACAGG
This 255-nucleotide ribosomal RNA is filed under the name uncultured bacterium. RNAcentral's name for it is "partial 16S ribosomal RNA". It matches the Rfam family "Bacterial small subunit ribosomal RNA", at positions 524 to 776 of the family's 1533-position model. The record is from RNAcentral.